This 253-nucleotide ribosomal RNA is filed under the name uncultured bacterium. RNAcentral's name for it is "partial 16S ribosomal RNA". It matches the Rfam family "Bacterial small subunit ribosomal RNA", at positions 524 to 776 of the family's 1533-position model. The record is from RNAcentral.
GACGAACCGUCCAAACGUUAUUCGGAAUCACUGGGCUUACAGAGUUCGUAGGCGGUCUGGAAAGUUGGGUGUGAAAUCCCUCGGCUCAACCGAGGAACUGCGCUUGAAACUACCAGACUCGAGGGAGAUAGAGGAAAGCGGAACUGAUGGUGGAGCGGUGAAAUACGUAGAUAUCGUUUGGAACGCCAAUGGUGAAAACAGGUUGCUGGGAGUGUGCUGACGCUGAGACACGAAAGCCAGGGGAGCAAACGGG